CCUACGGGAGGCAGCAGUGGGGAAUAUUGCACAAUGGGGGAAACCCUGAUGCAGCGACGCCGCGUGAGUGAAGAAGUAUUUCGGUAUGUAAAGCUCUAUCAGCAGGGAAGAAAAUGACGGUACCUGACUAAGAAGCCCCGGCUAACUACGUGCCAGCAGCCGCGGUAAUACGUAGGGGGCAAGCGUUAUCCGGAUUUACUGGGUGUAAAGGGAGCGUAGACGGCCAGACAAGUCAGAAGUGAAAGCCCAGGGCUCAACCCUGGGACUGCUCUGGAAACUAUUGAACUUGAGUGCAGGAGAGGUAAGCGGAAUUCCUAGUGUAGCGGUGAAAUGCGUAGAUAUUAGGAGGAACACCAGUGGCGAAGGUGGCUUACUGGACUGUAACUGACGUUGAGGCUCGAAAGCGUGGGGAGCAAACAGGAUUAGAUACCCCGGUAGUC
RNAcentral lists this ribosomal RNA (440 nucleotides) under uncultured bacterium. RNAcentral describes it as "partial 16S ribosomal RNA". It matches the Rfam family "Bacterial small subunit ribosomal RNA", at positions 338 to 795 of the family's 1533-position model. The record is from RNAcentral.